Oncorhynchus keta (chum salmon) is the source of this 2087-nucleotide long non-coding RNA. RefSeq lists it as uncharacterized. Lineage: Eukaryota; Metazoa; Chordata; Actinopteri; Salmoniformes; Salmonidae. The transcript is spliced from 4 exons. The record is from RefSeq and is a predicted model, not a curated record.
UGUGUUGAACCAGGUCUGAUAUGUACUGUCAGUGUUUAAUAAUGGGAUGUUGUGUUGAACCAGGUCUGAUAUGUACUGUCAGUGUUUAAUAAUGGGAUGUUGUGUUGAACCAGGUCUGAUAUGUACUGUCAGUGUUUAAUAAUGGGAUGUUGAACCAGGUCUGAUAUGUACUGUCAGUGUUUAAUAAUGGGAUGUUGUGUUGAACCAGGUCUGAUAUGUACUGUCAGUGUUUAAUAAUGGGAUGUUGUGUUGAACCAGGUCUGAUAUGUACUGUCAGUGUUUAAUAAUGGGGUGUUGAACCAGGUCUGAUAUGUACUGUCAGUGUUUAAUAAUGGGAUGUUGUGUUGAACCAGGUCUGAUAUGUACUGUCAGUGUUUAAUAAUGGGAUGUUGAACCAGGUCUGAUAUGUACUGUCAGUGUUUAAUAAUGGGAUGUUGUGUUGAACCAGGUCUGAUAUGUACUGUCAGUGUUUAAUAAUGGGAUGUUGUGUUGAACCAGGUCUGAUAUGUACUGUCAGUGUUUAAUAAUGGGAUGUUGUGUUGAACCAGGUCUGAUAUGUACUGUCAGUGUUUAAUAAUGGGAUGUUGAACCAGGUCUGAUAUGUACUGUCAGUGUUUAAUAAUGGGAUGUUGUGUUGAACCAGGUCUGAUAUGUACUGUCAGUGUUUAAUAAUGGGAUGUUGUGUUGAACCAGGUCUGAUAUGUACUGUCAGUGUUUAAUAAUGGGAUGUUGAACCAGGUCUGAUAUGUACUGUCAGUGUUUAAUAAUGGGAUGUUGUGUUGAACCAGGUCUGAUAUGUACUGUCAGUGUUUAAUAAUGGGAUGUUGAACCAGGUCUGAUAUGUACUGUCAGUGUUUAAUAAUGGGAUGUUGUGUUGAACCAGGUCUGAUAUGUACUGUCAGUGUUUAAUAAUGGGAUGUUGUGUUGAACCAGGUCUGAUAUGUACUGUCAGUGUUUAAUAAUGGGAUGUUGUAUUGAACCAGGUCUGAUAUGUACCGUCAGUGUUUAAUAAUGGGAUGUAGUGUUGAACCAGGUCUGAUAUGUACUCUCAGUGUUUAAUAAUGGGAUGUUGUGUUGAACCAGGUCUGAUAUGUACUGUCAGUGUUUAAUAAUGGGAUGUUGAACCAGGUCUGAUAUGUACUGUCAGUGUUUAAUAAUGGGAUGUUGUGUUGAACCAGGUCUGAUAUGUACUGUCAGUGUUUAAUAAUGGGAUGUUGUGUUGAACCAGGUCUGAUAUGUACUGUCAGUGUUUAAUAAUGGGAUGUUGUGUUGAACCAGGUCUGAUAUGUACUGUCAGUGUUUAAUAAUGGGAUGUUGAACCAGGUCUGAUAUGUACUGUCAGUGUUUAAUAAUGGGAUGUUGAGCCAGGUCUGAUAUGUCCUGUCAGUGUUUAAUAAUGGGAUGUUGUGUUGAACCAGGUCUGAUAUGUACUGUCAGUGUUUAAUAAUGGGAUGUUGUGUAGAACCAGGUCUGAUAUGUACUGUCAGUGUUUAAUAAUGGGAUGUUGUGUUGAACCAGGUCUGAUAUGUACUGUCAGUGUUUAAUAAUGGGAUGUUGUGUUGAACCAGGUCUGAUAUGUACUGUCAGUGUUUAAUAAUGGGGUGUUGAACCAGGUCUGAUAUGUACUGUCAGUGUUUAAUAAUGGGAUGUUGUGUUGAACCAGGUCUGAUAUGUACUGUCAGUGUUUAAUAAUGGGAUGUUGUGUUGAACCAGGUCUGAUAUGUACUGUCAGUGUUUAAUAAUGGGGUGUUGAACCAGGUCUGAUAUGUACUGUCAGUGUUUAAUAAUGGGAUGUUGUGUUGAACCAGGUCUGAUAUGUACUGUCAGUGUUUAAUAAUGGGAUGUUGUGUUGAACCAGGUCUGAUAUGUACUGUCAGUGUUUAAUAAUGGGGUGUUGAACCAGGUCUGAUAUGUACUGUCAGUGUUUAAUAAUGGGAUGUUGUGUUGAACCAGGUCUGAUAUGUACUGUCAGUGUUUAAUAAUGGGAUGUUGUGUUGAACCAGGUCUGAUAUGUACUGUCAGUGUUUAAUAAUGGGAUGUUGUGUUGAACCAGGUCUGAUAUGUACUGUCAGUGUUUAAUAAUGGGA